GACUUUGACACGUCCCGCAACGACGUCGUGGAGGAGGAAGAGUUCGUGCAGGGGAUGAAGAAGUGGCUCAACGAGGCCAAGCGCAGCGUGCCAGCGGGCGGCGCCUUCUCCCACAAGUUUAUCAACGACUUCCACGAGGUAAUCUGCUCACCCUGGAGCCUCCAGUAGCUCAGGAAUUGUGCCCAGCAGAACACCUGACCUGACGGAUUGAGCGAAACUGUGCAGAGGACUAGGCAGGAGCACGACCAGCUGAUCGACAGGUCCGACGAAGCGGUGGAGAGCGUGGAGAACCCCGGGUGGUGCAUCACCAAGGCCGUGGCGCUCCUCCUCCUGGGCGCUGCCAUCGCUGCGGCGUUUGCUGACCCGCUCGUGGACACCGUCCACAACUUCUCCAACGCCACCCACAUCCCGUCCUUCUUCAUCUCGUUCAUCGCCCUCCCGCUGGCCACCAACUCCAGCGAGGCCGUCUCCGCCAUCAUCUUCGCCAGCAGGAAGAAGCAGCGGACCUGCUCCCUCACCUUCUCCGAGGUGCGUAUCGUUGCGUGCACCACUGACAGACACGGCGACUGCAUCCGAAGCUCCUUGCAUUGGCAACAAACACUGACGAGGGUGCUUUCAGGUGUACGGCGGCGUGACGAUGAACAACACGCUGUGCCUGGGCGUGUUCCUGGCGCUCAUCUACUUCCGGAACCUGACAUGGGACUUCUCGUCGGAGGUGCUCAUCAUCCUGGUCGUCUGCGUCGUCAUGGCCCUCUUCACCAGCUUCCGGACCACCUUCCCUCUCUGGACCUGCCUCGUCGCCUACGUGCUCUACCCUCUCUCGCUCGUCAUCGUCUACAUCCUCGACUACGUCUUCGGCUGGUCAUAGGCUCAUUGGCUCCCCAAGCGAACGCCUGUUUUUGG
RNAcentral lists this long non-coding RNA (903 nucleotides) under Setaria italica (foxtail millet). RNAcentral's name for it is "long non-coding RNA (SITA_LNC003622)". Lineage: Eukaryota; Viridiplantae; Streptophyta; Magnoliopsida; Poales; Poaceae. The record is from RNAcentral.